RNAcentral lists this ribosomal RNA (509 nucleotides) under uncultured Meliniomyces. Its description in RNAcentral is "eukaryotic LSU rRNA". The stretch from base 163 to 316 matches the Rfam family "5.8S ribosomal RNA". The record is from RNAcentral. Lineage: Eukaryota; Fungi; Ascomycota; Leotiomycetes; Helotiales; Helotiaceae.
AAGAUCGCCCCGUUUUUUGAAACGGGUUCUAUUCCCAAACCGUGUAUACAUACCUUUGUUGCUUUGGCAGGCCGCCUUCGGGCGUCGGCUCCGGCUGACUGUGCCUGCCAGAGGACCCAAACUCUUUUGUUUAGUGAUGUCUGAGUACUAUAUAAUAGUUAAAACUUUCAACAACGGAUCUCUUGGUUCUGGCAUCGAUGAAGAACGCAGCGAAAUGCGAUAAGUAAUGUGAAUUGCAGAAUUCAGUGAAUCAUCGAAUCUUUGAACGCACAUUGCGCCCCUUGGUAUUCUGAGGGGCAUGCCUGUUCGAGCGUCAUUAUAACCACUCAAGCCUGGCUUGGUAUUGGGGCUCGCGGUUCCGCGGCCCUUAAAAUCAGUGGCGGUGCCGUCUGGCUCUAAGCGUAGUAAUUCUCUCGCUAUAGGGUCCUGGCGGUAGCUUGCCAAAAUCCCCCUAUUUUUUACGGUUGACCUCGGAUCAGGUAGGGAUACCCGCUGAACUUAAGCAUAUC